Molecule: long non-coding RNA, 377 nt
Filed under: Homo sapiens (human)
Lineage: Eukaryota; Metazoa; Chordata; Mammalia; Primates; Hominidae
Description: non-protein coding lnc-RNF135-1:11
Source: RNAcentral
AAAGUUUUGGAGAGAAAGUGACUGCAUGUUGGCAAUGUAGUACACUAGUGUUUCAUGGUUUUUGAAAUCUGAAUUCUUUAAAUGAUAGGUUUGAUUUCUAAUAGAUUGUGGAAAUUUAUUGUCACUCUAUAGACAUGAGAAUCUCUGAUACCAGCUAAUGUUUUCAUUGCUUUCUUUGUUGAUUUCAAAUAGAUCAGAGGUUGGAUUUAUGCAAACUUGGGCCAAAGGACAGUUAGAAGACGACGGAGUUUCACUCUUGUCGCCCAGGCUGAUUAAAAAGCACAGAAAGCCGAACAAGACCCAACCAAAUUUGGUAAUUCAUCCGAUUCAAAAUUGUUUUGGUUAAAUCAAAAAUACAAGUACACGACCGCAGGAAA